RNAcentral lists this ribosomal RNA (508 nucleotides) under uncultured bacterium. RNAcentral's name for it is "partial 16S ribosomal RNA". It matches the Rfam family "Bacterial small subunit ribosomal RNA", at positions 28 to 523 of the family's 1533-position model. The record is from RNAcentral.
GAUGAACGCUAGCUACAGGCUUAACACAUGCAAGUCGAGGGGAAACGAUAGAGAAAGCUUGCUUUUUCUAGGCGUCGACCGGCGCACGGGUGAGUAACGCGUAUCCAACCUGCCCAUCACUUGGGGAUAACCUUGCGAAAGUAAGACUAAUACCCAAUGACGUCUCUAGAAGACAUCUGAAAGGGAUUAAAGAUUUAUCGGUGAUGGAUGGGGAUGCGUGUGAUUAGCUUGUUGGCGGGGGAACGGCCCACCAAGGCGACGAUCAGUAGGGUUUCUGAGAGGAAGGUCCCCCACAUUGGAACUGAGACACGGUCCAAACUCCUACGGGAGGCAGCAGUGAGGAAUAUUGGUCAAUGGACGAGAGUCUGAACCAGCCAAGUAGCGUGCAGGAUGACGGCCCUAUGGGUUGUAAACUGCUUUUAUAAGGGAAUAAAGUGAGAGUCGUGACUCUUUUUGCAUGUACCUUAUGAAUAAGGACCGGCUAAUUCCGUGCCAGCAGCCGCCGUAA